This 497-nucleotide ribosomal RNA is filed under the name uncultured bacterium. RNAcentral describes it as "partial 16S ribosomal RNA". It matches the Rfam family "Bacterial small subunit ribosomal RNA", at positions 28 to 507 of the family's 1533-position model. The record is from RNAcentral.
GAUGAACGCUGGCGGCGUGCCUAAUACAUGCAAGUCGAGCGAACAGACGCGGAGCUUGCUCCUCUGACGUUAGCGGCGGACAGGGGAUUAACACGUGGAUAACCUACCUAUAAGACUGGGUUAACUUCGGGAAACCGGAGCUACUACCGGAUAAUAUUUUGAACCGCAUGGUUCAUUGGUGAAAGACGGUUUUGCUGUCACUUAUGGAUGGAUCCGCGCCGCAUUAGCUAGUUGGUAAGGUAACGGCUUACCAAGGCAACGAUGCGUAGCCGACCUGAGAGGGUGGUCGGCCACCAUAGAGCGGAGACACGGUCCAGACUCCUACGGGAGGCAGCAGUAGGGAAUCUUCCGCAAUGGGCGAAAGCCUGAUGGAGCAACGCCGCGGGAGUGAUGAAGGUCUCCGGAUCGUAGAACUCUGUUAUUAGGGAAGAACAAAUGUGUAAGUAACUGUGCACGUCUUGACGGUACCUAAUCAGAAAGCCACGGCUAACUACGUG